Molecule: transfer RNA, 72 nt
Organism: Ovis aries (sheep)
Lineage: Eukaryota; Metazoa; Chordata; Mammalia; Artiodactyla; Bovidae
Rfam family: tRNA
About the family: Transfer RNA (tRNA) molecules are approximately 80 nucleotides in length. Their secondary structure includes four short double-helical elements and three loops (D, anti-codon, and T loops).
Source: Rfam
UCCCUGGUGGCUCAGGCAGUAAAGCGUCUGCCUACAGUGUGGGAGACCCAGGUUCGAUCCCUGGGUAGGGAA